Molecule: ribosomal RNA, 133 nt
Filed under: Salmonella enterica
Lineage: Bacteria; Pseudomonadati; Pseudomonadota; Gammaproteobacteria; Enterobacterales; Enterobacteriaceae
Also listed under: 3 other names
Description: partial 23S ribosomal RNA
Rfam family: Bacterial large subunit ribosomal RNA
Source: RNAcentral
GGUUAAGCGACUAAGCGUACACGGUGGAUGCCCUGGCAGUCAGAGGCGAUGAAGGACGUGCUAAUCUGCGAUAAGCGCCGGUAAGGUGAUAUGAACCGUUAUAACCGGCGAUUUCCGAAUGGGGAAACCCAGU